RNAcentral lists this ribosomal RNA (1073 nucleotides) under Bacteroides thetaiotaomicron. RNAcentral's name for it is "bacterial SSU rRNA". It matches the Rfam family "Bacterial small subunit ribosomal RNA", at positions 197 to 1277 of the family's 1533-position model. Lineage: Bacteria; Pseudomonadati; Bacteroidota; Bacteroidia; Bacteroidales; Bacteroidaceae. The record is from RNAcentral.
AUUAUUAAAGAAUUUCGGUUAUCGAUGGGGAUGCGUUCCAUUAGGCAGUUGGUGAGGUAACGGCUCACCAAACCUUCGAUGGAUAGGGGUUCUGAGAGGAAGGUCCCCCACAUUGGAACUGAGACACGGUCCAAACUCCUACGGGAGGCAGCAGUGAGGAAUAUUGGUCAAUGGGCGCAGGUCUGAACCAGCCAAGUAGCGUGAAGGAUGACUGCCCUAUGGGUUGUAAACUUCUUUUAUAUGGGAAUAAAGUUUUCCACGUGUGGAAUUUUGUAUGUACCAUAUGAAUAAGGAUCGGCUAACUCCGUGCCAGCAGCCGCGGUAAUACGGAGGAUCCGAGCGUUAUCCGGAUUUAUUGGGUUUAAAGGGAGCGUAGGUGGACAGUUAAGUCAGUUGUGAAAGUUUGCGGCUCAACCGUAAAAUUGCAGUUGAUACUGGCUGUCUUGAGUACAGUAGAGGUGGGCGGAAUUCGUGGUGUAGCGGUGAAAUGCUUAGAUAUCACGAAGAACUCCGAUUGCGAAGGCAGCUCACUGGACUGCAACUGACACUGAUGCUCGAAAGUGUGGGUAUCAAACAGGAUUAGAUACCCUGGUAGUCCACACAGUAAACGAUGAAUACUCGCUGUUUGCGAUAUACAGUAAGCGGCCAAGCGAAAGCAUUAAGUAUUCCACCUGGGGAGUACGCCGGCAACGGUGAAACUCAAAGGAAUUGACGGGGGCCCGCACAAGCGGAGGAACAUGUGGUUUAAUUCGAUGAUACGCGAGGAACCUUACCCGGGCUUAAAUUGCAUUUGAAUAUAUUGGAAACAGUAUAGCCGUAAGGCAAAUGUGAAGGUGCUGCAUGGUUGUCGUCAGCUCGUGCCGUGAGGUGUCGGCUUAAGUGCCAUAACGAGCGCAACCCUUAUCUUUAGUUACUAACAGGUCAUGCUGAGGACUCUAGAGAGACUGCCGUCGUAAGAUGUGAGGAAGGUGGGGAUGACGUCAAAUCAGCACGGCCCUUACGUCCGGGGCUACACACGUGUUACAAUGGGGGGUACAGAAGGCAGCUACCUGGUGACAGGAUGCUAAUCCCAA